GGACCCGUGGCUUAAUUGGAUAUAGCACCUGACUACGGAUCAGGAGGUUGGGGGUUCGAAUCCCUCCGGGUCCA
This 74-nucleotide transfer RNA is filed under the name bacterium. RNAcentral's name for it is "tRNA-Arg". It matches the Rfam family "tRNA". Rfam says of the family: Transfer RNA (tRNA) molecules are approximately 80 nucleotides in length. The record is from RNAcentral.